UACGUAGGGGGCAAGCGUUAUCCGGAUUUACUGGGUGCAAAGGGAGCGUAGGUGGCAUGGUAAGCCAGAAGUGAAAACCCGGGGCUCAACCCCGCGGAUUGCUUUUGGAACUAUCAGGCUGGAGUGCUGGAGGGGUAAGCGGAAUUCCUAGUGUAGCGGUGAAAUGCGUAGAUAUUAGGAGGAACACCGGUGGCGAAGGCGGCUUACUGGACAGAAACUGACACUGAGGCUCGAAAGCGUGGGGAGCAAACAGG
RNAcentral lists this ribosomal RNA (254 nucleotides) under uncultured bacterium. Its description in RNAcentral is "partial 16S ribosomal RNA". It matches the Rfam family "Bacterial small subunit ribosomal RNA", at positions 524 to 776 of the family's 1533-position model. The record is from RNAcentral.